GAUGAAGAACGCAGCGAAAUGCGAUAAGUAAUGUGAAUUGCAGAAUUCCGUGAAUCAUCGAAUCCUUGAACGCACAUUGCGCCCCCUGGCAUUCCGGGGGGCAUGCCUGUCCGAGCGUCAUUUCUGCCCUCCAGCCCGGCUGGGUGUUGGGCGCUGUCCCCCCGGGGACACGCCCCAAAGGCAGUGGCGGCGCCGCGUCGGGUCCUCGAGCGUAUGGGGCUUUGUCACCCGCUCGGGACGGACUCGUCGGCGCUGGUCUUCCUCCAGGCGACCCUUCGGGGCUCGUCUUCCUUCGGUUGACCUCGGAUCAGGUAGGGUUACCCGCUGAACUUAAGCAUAUCAAUAAGCGGAGGA
RNAcentral lists this unclassified non-coding RNA (354 nucleotides) under soil metagenome. Its description in RNAcentral is "partial contains 5.8S ribosomal RNA, internal transcribed spacer 2, and large subunit ribosomal RNA". The stretch from base 1 to 120 matches the Rfam family "5.8S ribosomal RNA", at positions 35 to 154 of the family's 154-position model. The record is from RNAcentral.